This 1026-nucleotide ribosomal RNA is filed under the name Paraphysomonas vestita. Its description in RNAcentral is "partial Bacterial large subunit ribosomal RNA". It matches the Rfam family "Bacterial large subunit ribosomal RNA", at positions 1 to 988 of the family's 2925-position model. Lineage: Eukaryota; Chrysophyceae; Chromulinales; Paraphysomonadaceae. The record is from RNAcentral.
CUUUAAGAGCAAACGGUGGAUGCCUUGGCAUCUGGAGCCGAAGAAGGACGUAGCAAUCUGCGAUAAGCCUCGGGGAGUGGAUAAGCACACUGUGAUCCGAGGGUGUCCGAAUGGGGAAACCCCGCUGGGCGGCGUGCCGACCCAGUGACUCCCGCCUGAAUAUAUAGGGCGGGUAGAGGGAACGUGGGGAAGUGAAACAUCUCAGUACCCACAGGAAGAGAAAGCAACCGCGAUUCCGUUAGUAGUGGCGAGCGAAACCGGAACAGGCUAAACCGAGUACGUGUGAUAUCCGGCAGGAGUUGCGUAUUCGGGGUUGUGGGACUUUUCUGGUUGUUCUGCCGAGCAGCCGGCGUUACAAGAAGGUAUAGACGAACUGGAUUGAAAGCCAGGUCAUAGAGGGUGCCAACCCCGUAGUCGAAAUGCCUCUCUUGGCGCGAAGAGUAUCCCAAGUAGCACGGGGCCCGAGAAAUCCCGUGUGAAUCUGUCAGGACCACCUGAUAAGCCUAAAUACUCCCAGAUGACCGAUAGCGGACAAGUACCGUGAGGGAAAGGUGAAAAGUACCCCGGGAGGGGAGUGAAAUAGUACCUGAAACCGUUUGCUUACAAACCGUUGGAGCCUCCUUAGUAGGGGUGACAGCGUGCCUUUUGAAGAAUGAGCCUGCGAGUUAGCGAUACGUGGCGAGGUUAACCCGUGUGGGGUAGCCGUAGCGAAAGCGAGUCUGAAUAGGGCGAUUCAGUCGCGUGUCCUAGACCCGAAGCGAAGUGAUCUAUCCAUGGCCAGGCUGAAGCGACGGUAAGACGUCGUGGAGGGCCGAACCCACUUAGGUUGAAAACUGAGGGGAUGAGCUGUGGAUAGGGGUGAAAGGCUAAACAAACUUGGAAAUAGCUGGUUCUCUCCGAAAACUAUUUAGGUAGUGCCUCAAGUAUUACCUUCGGGGGUAGAGCACUGUUUUGGCUAGGGGGUCAUGGCGACUUACCAAACCAAGGCAAACUCCGAAUACCGAAGAGUACAGCUUGGGAGACAGA